GCACUAAUGGGGUAGUGGUAACCUGGGUCGUUGCCAUCGAGAUUCGAAAGUCUCGACCCGCCGGGGGUUCGAUUCCCUCUUAGUGCA
Non-coding RNA from Cerrena zonata, 87 nucleotides. NCBI's taxonomy places the organism in Eukaryota, Fungi, Basidiomycota, Agaricomycetes, Polyporales, Cerrenaceae. The record is from the annotation of a GenBank genome assembly.